UACGUAGGGUGCAAGCGUUAAUCGGAAUUACUGGGCGUAAAGCGUGCGCAGGCGGUUAUGUAAGGCAGUUGUGAAAUCCCCGGGCUCAACCUGGGAACUGCAUCUGUGACUGCAUAGCUAGAGUCCGGAAGAGGAGAGUGGAAUUCCCGGUGUAGCGGUGAAAUUCGUAGAUAUCGAGAGGAACACCGGUGGCGAAGGCGGCGAUCUGGACGAUGACUGACGCUGAGACGCGAAAGCGUGGGGAGCAAACAGG
This 253-nucleotide ribosomal RNA is filed under the name uncultured bacterium. RNAcentral's name for it is "partial 16S ribosomal RNA". It matches the Rfam family "Bacterial small subunit ribosomal RNA", at positions 524 to 776 of the family's 1533-position model. The record is from RNAcentral.